UCAAAUUUUGAGACCCUAAUCGGUGGCUUCGGUGGCUUGACCUCUGCGCCGGCCCUGCAACUCUGUCUCUUUAUUUUUUUUUCUUUCCGGCAACUCUCGAUCCUUCAUCCAUGUCUCGAUCUCUCACUCGCUCAAACUCGUUCCUCCAUCUCUGUCUCGAUCUCUCAAUCACUGUCCCGUUCCUCUUGCUUUCAGUCUCGUUCUCCAUCGGUCUCCAUUUCCUUCCCUCUCAAUUUCAGUCUUAUUUUAAUCGUUAUCCAUCACAGUCUUGUUCCCUAUUAAUUUCCCUCAUCUACAUCGGUAAGUCGAAUCGGUAUGGUUUAAUUGAUAUGUAUUUGACUGUUCUUGUAGCUGAAUUUCGCACUUAGAAGAACUAAGAUAUGUGUGAUUUCGAUUUUAAGUUUGGUCAAUAAUCAAUUUGGAAUUUUGAUUUUAAGCGUUUGUCGAUAGUCUUCAAAUCUUCAUGAUUAUUGUUGAUGCCGCUUGUUUUUUCUUACUCUUUGUAUGUUUACUUAAUUUCUCGUUUGUGUUGAUGUGAGUCGACUGUCUUUGUUAUUUGAGUGUUUGAUCCUUUGAACUCUUUAUUACAAAUUGUAUACUCGGUGGUAGGGCUGUGGUUGUAUUGUUGUGAUAUAUAUGGACAAGGCAUUGGUUUGAGAGAGCUAGUGUCUUUAAACGUAUCUCUAAUCUUAUGUCCAAAUUUAAGUCUAAGUAAUAUCACCUAUCUUACUUCAUUUAUAAUCAUGAGGUUCCUCUUGCAAUCUCCAAGGAUAUUUCUAACCUCUUAUACCACAUUGAAAUUUUGGUUGAGGAUGCUGUUAUGCUUGCAUUCGUAAAGAAGAGAACACCUAGUAUAAUUUGUCAAGUUGCUAAAAGUGGACGAUGGUGUCGUCCGUGACAUCUUUCAUAGUCGCUGCAAAUUUCAGCGACACUUUUCAUGUGUUAAGCGAUCACUGUAACCGUCACAGCUACACAAUUUGACUCCGUCCCCAACGUCAUUAAACUCGUUUUGGUCUUUUAGAGUCGCAGUCACAUAAGAACAGGGCCUAUAUCAUCAAUUUGUAUACAAUGACAUAUAUAAUCUGUUUUUACUAGUCAUAGAGAUUGAUAGUCUUUUUUCUCUUUUUCCAAAAAGCAUGGAGAGCUCAGAUUUGUAGAGACAUACGAGCUAAAGAAGGAGAACAAGAAGAUGUUGCCUUAAAGCAGGCAUGGCUUAUGUAUUUCUCGGGUAGAGCCAAGUUGUAUGGUGUGGAAGAAGAUAUUGCAGAGGAAUGUCUGCAGUUUUGGAUCAGCCUUAGUGAGGGAAAAAUUCAACUUCUCAUGACGUUGUUGACGUGGAACGAGGUUGGUUAGAGCUAAGGAAACUAAGAGUAGAGCAACAAUUUUGGGAAGCUUGUCGCGAAGAAACCGUUCAACUUAUUCCAUUAUCUUCUCCUACCUCAACUCUCUCUAAUCUUUUUUUUUUUUUUCACUAAACAUUGAAACUUUUAUUGAACUGAAAAUGGAAAUUACACAAAGCCGGCAAGGUUCAAAUCGA
This is an RNA transcript of Arabidopsis lyrata subsp. lyrata, 1537 nucleotides long. It is a transcript of the gene named coiled-coil domain-containing protein SCD2, with no coding region annotated. Lineage: Eukaryota; Viridiplantae; Streptophyta; Magnoliopsida; Brassicales; Brassicaceae. The record is from RefSeq and is a predicted model, not a curated record. The transcript is spliced from 5 exons.